This is a long non-coding RNA of Zingiber officinale, 235 nucleotides long. RefSeq lists it as uncharacterized. The record is from RefSeq and is a predicted model, not a curated record. Lineage: Eukaryota; Viridiplantae; Streptophyta; Magnoliopsida; Zingiberales; Zingiberaceae. The transcript is spliced from 3 exons.
UUCUUCAAAGGGAUAUUUGAUAGAGUUCAUAUGAUUCCAUUAAGUUCUGAUCUUAUGGUGCAAAAUACGAUUCAUUUUUUAAACCGUCUCAUAGAGGACAUUGUGAUAGGGAGUUAUGAACCCAGCAUAAAAGAACUUAUACCACCGCUACUCAAGCAUAUGAAUGUACUCCAUCCUCCUCAUGUGAAAGUUUUGAUUGGGUGGAUAACCAUGUGUGGUGAUGUUUCGGAUGCUC